Macaca mulatta (Rhesus monkey) is the source of this 522-nucleotide non-coding RNA. Lineage: Eukaryota; Metazoa; Chordata; Mammalia; Primates; Cercopithecidae. The record is from RefSeq and is a predicted model, not a curated record.
UCUAGGUGACUCCAACAGCGAACGGGGGAGAAAAGGUAGACUUUAAGGGAUACGAGUUAAAACAAACAAGAAAAAAUAUAUAAGCACAUCUUUUCGAAUGUUUUUUUUGGUUUGUUUUUUCUUUAAAAGGAGCGUACCGACUUAAAUUCCAGAAAUUCCAUUCCUUUGGCAACUUGAUAUGCAAAGCAAAGAAGAUCUUCAAAUUACCAGCCCCAGGCCUGCUGCUGCAGAAAGAAUGAACCUUAGGCACAUCAUUUGGGCAUUUCUAGGCAGAAGAGAGAGGAUCAGAGGGCAUGCCCCAGAGAAUUCUGGGAAAGUAAAGUCUGAUAUCCUAGCUGGGCUGUGCCGUAUUUGACAGCAGCCCAACUGGGGCAGUGGCCAGGCUCUGUAACCACUCUCACCACGCCUGUGCACCAGCUUCCAAGCUGGGGGAGAAGCACAGACACCACCAAAUGUACUUGCAAUGUUGCUGUUGUUGUUUUAAGCAGGUGAGAAUUAUGCAAUAUAUCCUGACAAAGCAGG